GGGGGAUAAGCUUCAUUGCCAAGAGGGAAACAGCCCAGAUCACCAUUUAAGGCCCCUAAAUAAUUGCUAAGUGAAAAAGGAUGUAAUCAUACACAGACAACCAGGAGGUUUGCUUAGAAGCAGCAAUCCUUUAAAAAGUGCGUAAUAGCUUACUGGUCAAGUGUUUUUGCGCCGAAAAUGAACGGGACUAAGCAGUUUGCCGAAAGUGUGAGAUUCUCAAUGAGGAUCGGUAGAAGAGCGUUCUGUUUUAGUGCGAAGCAAUAGUGUAAACAGUUGUGGACUAAUCAGAAGUGAGAAUGUCGGCUUAAGUAACGAAAACAUUGGUGAGAAUCCAAUGCCCCGAAAGCCUAAGGAUUCCUUUGCAAGGUUCGUCCGCGAAGGGUUAGUCAGGUCCUAAAACAAGGUUUAAAAACGUAGUUGAUGGAAAACAGGUUAAUAUUCCUGUACUACUUUUUGUUAUAUUACGAGUGACGAAGAAGGCUAAACUAGCCAAAGACUGGUUGUUUUGGUUCAAUCUUUCAAGGUGUCGAUAAAUAUUAUAAUUAAAAAUAUUUUGAGCUGAGAAGAAAAUACAAGUAAUAUUACGAUAUUGCAAGUAGUUAAUGUCCUGCUUCCAAGAAAAACUUUUAUAAUUAUAUUCAAAAAGUACCUGUACCUCAAACUGACACAGGUAGGCAAGUAGAAAAUACUCAGGGGCGCGAGAUAACUCUUUCUAAGGAACUCGGCAAAAUGACUCUGUAACUUCGGGAUAAAGAGUGCCUCAAAUAAAUUUUAAAUUUAUAUGAGGUCGCAGUAAUAAGACCCAGGCGACUGUUUACCAAAAACACAGGUCUCCGCUAAGUUGAAAAACGAUGUAUGGGGGCUGACGCCUGCCCAGUGCCGGAAGGUUAAAAAAGUUGGUUAGCAUUUGCGAAGCUAGUAAUUGAAGCCCUGGUGAACGGCGGCCGUAACUAUAACGGUCCUAAGGUAGCGAAAUUCCUUGUCAGGUAAGUUCUGACCCGCACGAAAGGCGUAACGAUCUGGGUACUGUCUCAGAAAGAGAGUCGGUGAAAUAGAAUUGACUGUGAAGAUGCGGUCAUCUCGCACUUGGACAGAAAGACCCUAUGAAGCUUUACUGUAAUUUGAUAUUGGUUUUGGAUUUUCCUUGCGCAGCAUAGGUGGGAGGCUUUGAAUCUCUUUUUUGGAAGUUGAUGAGCUGUAAUAUGAGAUACCACUCUGGGAAGAUUAAAAGUCUAAUAGUAUUCUAUAUUCUAGAUACUUGAAAGUUUCAGAUGGGCAGUUUUACUGGGGCGGUAGCCUCCUAAAAAGUAACGGAGGCGUACAAAGGUUUUUUCAUUCUAGACGGAAAUUAGUUGUCGAGUGUAAAGGCAUAAAAAAGCUUGACUGUGAGACCUACAAGUCAAACAGAGACGAAAGUCGGUCUUAGUGAUCCGACGGUACUGAGUGGAAAGGCCGUCGCUCAACGGAUAAAAGUUACUCUAGGGAUAACAGGCUGAUCUCCCCCAAGAGUCCACAUCGACGGGGAGGUUUGGCACCUCGAUGUCGGCUCAUCGCAUCCUGGAGCGGUAGUACGUUCCAAGGGUUGGGCUGUUCGCCCAUUAAAGCGGUACGUGAGCUGGGUUCAGAACGUCGAGAGACAGUUCGGUCCAUAUCCGGUGUGAGUGUUAGAGUAUUGAAAAGAACUUUCCUUAGUACGAGAGGACCGGGAAGGAUACACCUAUGAUCUACCAGUUUUUGUGCCAACAGAAAACGCUGGGUAGUCACGUGUAGAGUGGAUAACUG
The sequence is a ribosomal RNA, 1782 nucleotides long. It matches the Rfam family "Bacterial large subunit ribosomal RNA", at positions 993 to 2770 of the family's 2925-position model.